CUGCAUGAUAAGGAUAUGUCCAAUGCUUUUGCAUCUCAAAAGCCCAUUAUUGGCAAUAGAUACAAAAACAGAAAAGCAGAUGCAAGUGUUUUUAUAGGCUAACUUCAUCAAAGUUUGUGAAGUCCCUUUCAAUGUAGACUUGGUCUCAGAGGCUAAAUGCCAGGAAAGAGUUUUGGAUGCGGGGGAACCUGAGUUAACACACUUUAAUAAGUUAUUUGAUACUCUUUACAAACAAUUGUGGAAAAGAAAUGAAAAAAUAAUAAUAAUAAAAUUAAAAAAAAAAUACAAAGUAUGUGCCAUGCUGAGAAACCCUAU
This 315-nucleotide unclassified non-coding RNA is filed under the name Hevea brasiliensis (rubber tree). The record is from RNAcentral. Lineage: Eukaryota; Viridiplantae; Streptophyta; Magnoliopsida; Malpighiales; Euphorbiaceae.